Molecule: non-coding RNA, 763 nt
Organism: Sesamum indicum (sesame)
Lineage: Eukaryota; Viridiplantae; Streptophyta; Magnoliopsida; Lamiales; Pedaliaceae
Source: RefSeq, a predicted model, not a curated record
GCAGAAGAAGAAGCAGAAGUAGAAGAAGAAGAAGAAGAAUGCGAGCAUAAUUAAUUAAGAAAUGGAUGCCAAAGAUGUGAAGUGGGAACUUGUUAUUUAUUGAGAAAUGAGAAAGCACAUAAAACAAAUAGAGACAUACAUAAGACUGAAGAAUGAUUCCGGUUGGAGGUCGAGGUGAUUUUAAAGGUAGGAAUCCACGCGGUGUGAUCCCGAUCUUCCAGGUGUGGAGUGAUCGACGGCUGUAGUCCUGAGUCUACGCGUUGGGUCAAAUCAGCGAGGAAACCCCCAUUAUUUCUGAGGCGGGGAUUGAUGCCAAAGAGAGGAUUGCGUUUGCUUCAUGGGGACACGGGAUUUCCUAUGCAGAAACUACAUGCUCAACGGCUUGAGUGAUAUAUUUUACAACAUAUAUAGCUCAGCCAAGACUACAAGAUCACUUUGGCAGUCCUUGAGAACGAAAUACAAACUAAAGGAUACCGGCUUGAAGAAUUCAUAGUCGGGAAGUUUUUGGAAUUCAAAUGGUGGAUUCCAAAAUGGUAAUGAGCCAAGCCCAAGAGUUUCAAAUGAUUAUGCAUGAUUUGUAUGUAGAAGUGAUGAAACUUAGUAAAUCCUUUCAUGUCUCUGCUAUGAUUGAAAAGCUACCACAGCUAUGAAAGAAUUUCAAAAGUUACUUGAAGCACAAGUGGAAAGAGAUGAGAAUUUGAUUGUUAGAUUGACGAUUGAAGAAAACAGUUGGUUGUUUGAGGUGAAAUCCAAAAUGUUACAA